RNAcentral lists this ribosomal RNA (756 nucleotides) under uncultured bacterium. RNAcentral's name for it is "bacterial SSU rRNA". It matches the Rfam family "Bacterial small subunit ribosomal RNA", at positions 8 to 796 of the family's 1533-position model. The record is from RNAcentral.
AGAGUUUGAUCCUGGCUCAGAAUCAACGCUGGCGGCGCGCUUAACACAUGCAAGUCGCACGAGAAAGUGGAGCAAUCCAUGAGUACAGUGGCGUACGGGUGAGUAACACGUGGAUCAUCUACCUCUUGGUGGGGAAUAACCCUGGGAAACCGGGGCUAAUACCGCAUAAGCCUGCAAAGGGAAAGCAGCAAUGCGCCGAGAGAGGAGUCCGCGGCCGAUUAGCUUGUUGGUAGGGUAAUGGCCUACCAAGGCAAUGAUCGGUAGCCGGCCUGAGAGGGCACACGGCCACACUGGCACUAAAACACGGGCCAGACUCCUACGGGAGGCAGCAGUGGGGAAUCUUGCACAAUGGGGGAAACCCUGAUGCAGCGACGCCGCGUGAGCGAUGAAGCCCUUCGGGGUGUAAAGCUCUUUCGGCAGGAACGAUAAUGACGGUACCUGCAGAAGAAGCUGCGGCUAACUACGUGCCAGCAGCCGCGGUAAUACGUAGGCAGCAAGCGUUGUUCGGAAUUACUGGGCGUAAAGAGUGUGUAGGCGGUUCUCUAAGUUCCGUGUGAAAUCUCCCGGCUUAACUGGGAGGGUGCGCGGAAAACUGGAGGGCUGGAGUAUGGGAGAGGAAAGCGGAAUUCCUGGUGUAGCGGUGAAAUGCGUAGAUAUCAGGAGGAACACCUGCGGUGUAGACAGCUUUCUGGACCAUCACUGACGCUGAGACACGAAAGCGUGGGUAGCAAACAGGAUUAGAUACCCUAGUAGUCC